Brassica rapa (field mustard) is the source of this 4839-nucleotide long non-coding RNA. RefSeq lists it as uncharacterized. NCBI's taxonomy places the organism in Eukaryota, Viridiplantae, Streptophyta, Magnoliopsida, Brassicales, Brassicaceae. The record is from RefSeq and is a predicted model, not a curated record.
GUUAAUAUUGUUUUUUUUCCUAAAAUCAUAAAAAAAAAGAUAACUGUAAAAAAAUAAUAGUAAUUAUCCUUUUUAAAAAUCUUAAACCAAAAAAUUGUUAAAAAAGAGUGUUUAAUGUUAAUUUUCUUUUAUUGGUUCUUAAAGUUUCUAAUUAUGAUCGCGACACAAGCCAAUUAUAUAAUUAAGAUUGUGACAUGUGUUAAUACUAAUUUUCUUUUUCUAUCAUAAAAAACUAUAAUUAUUCACAUAUUAACAUGAUUUUUUGAAAAAAAUAAUAGUAAUUUUCGUUUUUACAAAUCCUAUACCAAAAACGAUUUGUACAAAUAAUUUAUUUAAUACUAAUUUUCCUUUACUAAAAUCAUAAACCAAAAACAAUUUGUACAAAUAAUUUUCCUUUUCUAAAAUAAUAAAGAAAAGAUAACUGUAAAAAAAUGAUAGUAAUUAUCCUUUUUAAAAUUCUAAAGCCAAAAAUUUGUAAAAGAGUGUUUAGUGUUAAUUUUCUUUUAUUAAAAUCUGAUUUUUUGAAAAAAGUAAUAGAAAUUUUCGUUUUUACAAAUCCUAUACCAAACACGAUUUGUACAAAUAAUUUAUUUAAUACUAAUUUUCCUUUUCUAAAAUCAUAAAGAAAAGAUAACUGAAAAAAUAUUAAUAGUAAUUAUCCUUUUUAAAACUUUUAAACCAAAAAAUUGUAAAAGAGUGUUUAAUGUUAAUUUUCCUUUAUUCAAAUCCUAAUUAAAAAGAUCAUAAACCAAAAGGAACUACAAUUAUUCACAUCUAUAUAUAGGACUAAGCUCUCUCAUAUUUUGACACUUCUCAUAUUUGAUCAGUAAGCAUAAAGAAAAAUAUUAGGUGGGUUUUUUGGUCAUCGCAUGUUCUUUUCUUCUUAUAAACUGAUGUUAAUUUUUUUUUCAUUAUUGUCAUGCUGGGCACGUAAGUUAUUGCCACAAUAAUGCUUAGGAGUUUGUACAUACAAUAUAUAAUUAGUUAUGAUGUUGUACAUAAGUUAAUGUCAACGCCAAUUUACUACUUUAAUACGUUUAAUUAUGCUUAUGUGUGUUCGUUCUAUUUAUUAUUUUCUAACUGAAAUUGUAAUUCAAUUUGCUACCAGGAAUUAUCAAGAGACAAUGGCUUCAGAAAGUUAUCUAACACUAGAUCAGUUAAAUAAGAAAUGUCCUUACCGUCGUACUGAGUACGUCUUACUAGAAAGUGGGAAGCAAGAAAUUUAAAUAAGAAUAACGAGCUUAUAGGAAUAAAUUUUCUCAUACUUGAUAAGAUGGUAAAUAUUUUAAUUUAAAAAAUCUUAUAUAGUUUUAUUGUUAAAAAUAAUUUGUUUAUUAUAUAGGAAAAUACAAUUCAAGGUUGUGUGCAUCCUUCUCUUAUUGAAAAGUUCGGAGAUGGAUUACAUGAAGGGGCCAUUAUUGAAAUCUGCAAAUUUAAUUUGCAAGAUUACAAUAAAAACUACAAAAUCUCAUAUCAUAAAUUUCAAAUAAGAUUGACCGAGAGAACAACAAUUGCAUGUGUGGAGCAAAAAUUACCUCAAACACCGCCUGAAAAAUUUCAAUUUCGAAACUAUGAAGAGUUUGCUCAACUGAAAGAUUCAACAUACGAUUUAUAUGGUAAUAUUUAGUAUUUUUUUUUGUCAGUUAAUCUUUAUCUUUCUCCUUUUGACUUCGCUUUAUAUAUUCAGGAUAGUUAAAUCUCUUGCAGUAUUGAAUGCAAAGAUUGAUAGGUUUAAAUAAUUAUUACAUCGACUGAAGUUGGAUCCUUUCGUAUAGAGUCUGCUUGACAUUGGUUGAUGCAUUUGUAUGUUUAGUAGGUCAUUGAUUGAUUGAUUACUAGGAACACGUAAUCUGUUUUUUUGUAGCAAUUUGGUUGUCAAACAUCAUAUGUUUCAGUCAAAUUAUUCGGUAUUUGUAAUGAAUUUUGCUUGAAAUAACAUUAUUAUAUAACACGAUUUUUUUUACAGAUGUAAUCGGAUGUAUAAAGAAUAUUGAGAAAACGGAUGUUCGUAGCAAGACCACACCUGUCCUCCGAAGAGUUAUUCAACUUUAUUGUUAGAAAGGUAUAUUUUUCAAUUCCAAUUCUAUUAAUCAAUUUCGAUUUUUAUUUUUUAUUUCUCUUUUACAAAAAUUCUAUCUUAUACAAUAGAAUUGAAAUACAAGCAACACUAUGGGCUGAACAAGCAGAACUAUUUGAAGAUAAAUAUCGCGCUUUGAAAAGUAAUAAUAUUGUUCUUAUCAUGACAAGUGUUUUGAUCAAGACAUAUCAAGGUGUAAUUUGUCUCUCAGCAUCUUCAGGGACUAAAUUCUAUUUGAAUUAUGAUUUUGAUUCUGUUACCGACUUUCGAAAAAGGUAUUAUUUAAAAGGUUCAAUUCAGGUUCGGAUAACCCAUUUAAAUAAUUUUUGAAAUUUCAAAAUUCAUUAUAUACUUUAAAUCCUCAAAAUCUAUAAAUACAGUAAUAUAUUACAUAUAAAUUUGAAUAACAUAUGUCAAAACACCUAAAAUUAACAUAUAAAUUGGUUUGGUUUGAAUAUUUUGAUAGAGAAUCAAUAGAAAUUUCAAAUAUAUUUUGGUGUUUUCAGUAUAUUUUAGCUAUCUUAGACAUUUAGUUUUAACUAUUUGUUUAUAUUUUCAAGUAUUUUACACACAUUAAAAGUAUCUUAUAUAUUUUGGAUGUUAUUAAUAUACAUUAAAUCUAAAAAUAAUUAAUAUAUUUAGGUAUAUAAAUCUAUAUAAUAUUUAUUCGGAUACCCGAAAUACUUCGUUUCAUUUCUCUAGAUACCAAAAUUUUGAACCCGUUCGAAUAUUUAAUCAAUUUCGAUUCAGGUUCGGUAUUAUUUUUUUGGAUCGGGUAUGGUUCAGUUUUUCGAAUUUUGUUUUUUUUGCCCAGCCCUAUUUUAAUCUCUGUUUCAUAGUAACAUACGAAGACGUUUUCAUUAAAUUAAUAUAAUAAAAACAUGUUAUAAAAAACUUUUAAAACCAUUCCAAAUUACUAUUAAUAUAGCCUUGCAUCAUUCCAAAAUACGAUUUGAGUUGAACUUGAACAUGAUUAUUCCAAAACAGACGAUAUAGUCUGAUCAUUAAAAGGUGAACUAUUUAUUAAAAAAACAAAAACAAAUUAUUAACUAUUGUAAAACACGAAAGACAAACAUCAAAAAUUAUGUAGAAAACAGAUUUAAAUUCAAAAUUGUGUCCAUAACAUAUACAUAUAUUCUAAAAUUGAUGUAAAAAAAAUUGUCAUUCUUUAUAUGUUUUCAUAAAUUUAAAAAUCAAACAAAACCCGUGCAACGUACGGGUCCAUACCUAGUAUAUAUAUAAAUGUAUAAAUGAAUAUACUUUUUCAAUACGUAACAGUUUCCUAAUUUUUUUUAAAAUCUCGAUUCUGAUUCUACGUAUCCGCUUCCGUUUCCAUGUAAUGGUAAUUUUUUUUAUAUUUUCUCUUCUUCUCCAUCGUUUCAUUAAUUAAUUUAUAUUCUCAGGUUCAUACAGAAGUGUUUUAUAGCGAUGGCUCUGUGCUCGAAUGCAACAAUAAGAGGGAAGUGCUUGAUAAACAUCUCAAGGUGACUGGAGGGAAGGUUUAUACCCGGUUCCCACCUGAACCUAAUGGUUAUCUACAUAUUGGGCAUGCAAAGGUAAGAUUGACACAAACUGUGCUCGUCAGUUACUCUGCAUGAAGGUGUACGUUUGCUACGACCUACUUUUUUUGGUCACUUCUAAUGUUUGUUGUUUCAGGCUAUGUUUGUCGAUUUUGGCCUUGCAAAGCGAGGGGGCGGCUGUUAUCUUAGGUAAGAAUACUUAUUUCCUUUUACGUCUCUGUAGCAAUCAUUUUUCUUCUGUAACAACAUAGUUCAUUAUUCUAUUCAACAUCUGAUUUUUCAGGUAUGAUGAUACAAAUCCGGAAGCAGAGAAGAAAGAGUACAUUAAUCACAUUGAAGAAAUUGUUAACUGGAUGGGUUGGGAACCCUUCAAGGUAUUCUUACUUUUAAGUACGACUAACCGUUUAUUAUUAUUAUUAUAUUGUGUGUGUUUAUGUUUAUAAUUCUUUCCAUUGUUUUCUUCUAGAUCACGUACACCAGUGAUUAUUUUCAAGAAUUGUAUGAUUUGGCAGUUGAGCUGAUUCGGAGAGGUCAUGCUUAUGUCGAUCAUCAGGUUGAAUAAGUUUAAACCUUCAAAUUUAUGGAUUCCUGUUGCUUUUUCCAGUCAACUGCCAUAUUUAGUUCUAAGCUGAACUGCAACUUACUCCCACAUCGAACUCAUUCUCGCUACAUUGUUGAUUUUCAUCUUUCAGAAUGCUAAAGAUAUAGAAGAGUACAGAAAGAUGAAAACGAAUAGUCCCUGGAGGGACAGGCUUAUUGAAGAAUCACUUAGACUUUUUGACGAAAUGAGACGAGGAAUGAUUGAGGAAGGGAAGGCAACACUGUGAAUGAAGCAGGACAUGCAGAAUGAUAAUUGCAAUACGUAUGACCUUAUUGCAUAUCGUAUAAAGGCAUGUGAAACAAACAUUAUCUCUGGUUGCAGAAGAAUGUGUUCUCCCCAUUCUUGGGGUAUACUAAUUUGUUUGUAUGCUUUUGCAGUUCACACCUCAUCCUCAUGCUGGUGACAAAUGGUGCAUCUAUCCGACCUACGAUUUUGCCCACUGCACUGUUGACUCUCUCGAGAAUAUAACACAUUCGCUCUGUACUCUUGAAUUCGAAACCCGGCGGGCUUCAUAUUACUGGUUACUACAUUCCCUUGAUCUCUACAUGCCGUAUGUAUGAGAAUAUUCACGGUUGAAUAUCACAAACACUGUAAUGUCCAAGCGUAAGUUGAAUUACAUUGUGACAAACAAGCAUGUUGAU